CGUAAAAUGCCACCUCGCCUUGGCGAGCUGAUAAAAUUGUCUCGCCAUCCCCAGGAAUCCGAAGUCGUAUCCCUGAGGGGAAUGAAUAGGUGGAUCCGAGCUUGUCCAGUUCGGCCUGGGACAUGGCAUUACCCUCCUUGGUAAGACUCGAGGUAUCCAUCUUUGGGGAGUUUGUUGGUGGAGACGACGGAGACUGGCUCGUUUCGUCGAUAUAAGACUUCGCCCCUAGAUGAUCGGAUAUCCAAGAAGGCAGGGAUUGCUCAGAUUCUUCGCCUCCGAGGUUGGUCUUGGAGAACAUAAACGGGACAGCCGACCUGUUUAUGGCGAGAUGCAAUUUAAAAACGGAGCAGCACUUCGACAGCAACGGAAAUGUGCGAAUGAACAGGUUAACCCCAUUUAUAUACACAUAGG
This 411-nucleotide long non-coding RNA is filed under the name Actinidia chinensis (golden kiwifruit). RNAcentral's name for it is "long non-coding RNA (ACHI_LNC002466)". Lineage: Eukaryota; Viridiplantae; Streptophyta; Magnoliopsida; Ericales; Actinidiaceae. The record is from RNAcentral.